This 467-nucleotide ribosomal RNA is filed under the name uncultured bacterium. RNAcentral describes it as "bacterial SSU rRNA". It matches the Rfam family "Bacterial small subunit ribosomal RNA", at positions 355 to 813 of the family's 1533-position model. The record is from RNAcentral.
UGGGGAAUUUUGGACAAUGGGGGCAACCCUGAUCCAGCCAUUCCGCGUGAGUGAAGAAGGCCUUCGGGUUGUAAAGCUCUUUCAGCUGGAACGAAACGGUACGCUCUAACAUAGCGUGCUAAUGACGGUACCAGCGGAAGAAGCACCGGCUAACUACGUGCCAGCAGCCGCGGUAAUACGUAGGGUGCGAGCGUUAAUCGGAAUUACUGGGCGUAAAGCGUGCGCAGGCGGAUUGUUAAGCAAGACGUGAAAUCCCCGGGCUUAACCUGGGAAUGGCGUUUUGAACUGGCAGUCUAGAGUGUGUCAGAGGGGGGUAGAAUUCCACGUGUAGCAGUGAAAUGCGUAGAGAUGUGGAGGAAUACCAAUGGCGAAGGCAGCCCCCUGGGAUAACACUGACGCUCAUGUACGAAAGCGUGGGUAGCAAACUAGGAUUAGAUACCCUGGUAGUCCUCGCCCUAAACGAUGUC